Molecule: ribosomal RNA, 799 nt
Filed under: human gut metagenome
Description: bacterial SSU rRNA
Rfam family: Bacterial small subunit ribosomal RNA
Source: RNAcentral
CGUGGAGGACGACGGCCCUACGGGUUGUAAACUCCUUUUAUAAGGGGAUAAAGUUGGCCAUGUAUGGCCAUUUGCAGGUACCUUAUGAAUAAGCAUCGGCUAAUUCCGUGCCAGCAGCCGCGGUAAUACGGAAGAUGCGAGCGUUAUCCGGAUUUAUUGGGUUUAAAGGGAGCGUAGGCGGGCAGUCAAGUCAGCGGUCAAAUGGCGCGGCUCAACCGCGUUCCGCCGUUGAAACUGGCAGCCUUGAGUAUGCACAGGGUACAUGGAAUUCGUGGUGUAGCGGUGAAAUGCUUAGAUAUCACGAGGAACUCCGAUCGCGCAGGCAUUGUACCGGGGCAUUACUGACGCUGAGGCUCGAAGGUGCGGGUAUCAAACAGGAUUAGAUACCCUGGUAGUCCGCACAGUAAACGAUGAAUGCCCGCUGUCGGCGACAUAGUGUCGGCGGCCAAGCGAAAGCGUUAAGUAUUCCACCUGGGGAGUACGCCGGCAACGGUGAAACUCAAAGGAAUUGACGGGGGCCCGCACAAGCGGAGGAACAUGUGGUUUAAUUCGAUGAUACGCGAGGAACCUUACCCGGGCUUGAAUCGCAGGUGCAUGGGCCGGAGACGGCCCUUUCCUUCGGGACUCCUGCGAAGGUGCUGCAUGGUUGUCGUCAGCUCGUGCCGUGAGGUGUCGGCUUAAGUGCCAUAACGAGCGCAACCCCCCUCCCCAGUUGCCACCGGGUAAUGCCGGGCACUUUGGGGACACUGCCACCGCAAGGUGCGAGGAAGGUGGGGAUGACGUCAAAUCAGCACGGCCC